Non-coding RNA from Paramisgurnus dabryanus, 782 nucleotides. Lineage: Eukaryota; Metazoa; Chordata; Actinopteri; Cypriniformes; Cobitidae. The record is from RefSeq and is a predicted model, not a curated record.
UAAGUCACAGGUUAAAGGUCAUUGCUCUUCAGUUGUGAUGAUAUUCAUAAUGUAGCACAGCCUCUCAUACCUGCAUUCAGGUGAUCUAUCUGAUAGAUUUACUGUAUUGAUGUUAACAUCAUGAGUCUUUGUAGUGAAGAUGAAGAGUAAAGUUAUGUUCUGAAUUUUCUGGGGUUUGUCUUCAGAUGCAAUGGACAAUAAAACAAUUGACAGAAACAAUGAAGAAAUGGACAGUUCAGUGUUUGUCUCUCUGUUGGUGUUUCUGCCUCAGUUUCUCAUUAUAGGAGCUGUAUGGAUCUGGUUUUUCAUCAGCAUGAAUAAAUUGAACUCAUCUGAAAACAAAACUGAUGACAAACAAAUAGAGAUGUUGCAGGUCUGUGAGUAGAUCAGCUGUCUGUCCAUCAGAACUACUGGAGUGAUGUCACAACUCUCUUUAUGACAUCAUCACCUAGCAACAGUCUCUCAGCAGUGACAUCAGUGAUGCAGUGAUGUCAUAUACAGUGACAUAUUAAUGACAGCUCAGUGUAAAUAAUCUAAUGUUCAAAUACAUGAAUUAUUCAUUGAAGUAUUGAGUUUAUCAUUCAACAGUCUUGUGUCAGUGUCAGAUCAACUGUAACAUCACAAUGCAUAAAUCCUGUAAAAACUUUGCUAUAGUGCAUCUUUAUGUAGAUGAUACUGUGAUCUACUUUCAUCUUCACUAUAAGUCAGGCUGUUAUUCAACUCAAUGCUGUUUUUAGUUCGGUUAGGAUUUUAUUACAGGGUUGUGCUUUAAUCUUGCAGUU